This 497-nucleotide ribosomal RNA is filed under the name uncultured bacterium. RNAcentral describes it as "partial 16S ribosomal RNA". It matches the Rfam family "Bacterial small subunit ribosomal RNA", at positions 28 to 507 of the family's 1533-position model. The record is from RNAcentral.
GAUGAACGCUGGCGGCGUGCCUAAUACAUGCAAGUCGAGCGAACAGACGAGGAGCUUGCUCCUCUGACGUUAGCGGCGGACGGGUGAGUAACACGUGGAUAACCUACCUAUAAGACUGGGAUAACUUCGGGAAACCGGAGCUAAUACCGGAUAAUAUAUUGAACCGCAUGGUUCAAUAGUGAAAGACGGUUUUGCUGUCACUUAUAGAUGGAUCCGCGCCGCAUUAGCUAGUUGGUAAGGUAACGGCUUACCAAGGCAACGAUGCGUAGCCGACCUGAGAGGGUGAACGGCCCACCUGGAACUGAAGCACGGUCCCGGAUCCUGCGGGGGGCAGCAGUAGGGAAUCUUCCGCAAUUGGCGAAAGCUUGACGGAGGAACGCCGCGUGGGUGAUGAAAGUCUUCGGAUCGUAAAAAUCUUUUAAUAGGGAAGAACAAAUGGGUAAGUAACUAUGCACGUCUUGACGGUACCUAAUCAGAAAGCCACGGCUAACUUCGGG